CCAAAUACUUAUACUAAGAGCUCAUUUGGUAUUGAGUCACAUUUAAUAUUAGUAGAUAAAAUAAAAUUGAGACGAAAGCAUAUCAAAAUAUAGUUUUAUAUUUUUUGAUAAAAUCGUAUAAAAUAUGUUAUGGUCAACUCAUUGCGUGACGCAGAAUGUAAUAUUACGUAUAAACAUAAAUAUAAUAUUUUUUUUAUAGAACUUUCUCAGUGCAUGUAACUUAAUUUUUUUCGUAUUUUUUUUUUUCUGAGAGAAAGGUAGUAUGCUACCCGUUUCGUUUAUUUCUUUUAAAAAUAAAUUUAACUGAAAAUAUGAAUCAAUUAGAAUUCGAACUUGGGACCUCAGUUACAGUGGGUUAGAAGAAACAAAGAUUGAUUCCA
This 380-nucleotide long non-coding RNA is filed under the name Ananas comosus (pineapple). Its description in RNAcentral is "long non-coding RNA (ACOM_LNC004226)". The record is from RNAcentral. Lineage: Eukaryota; Viridiplantae; Streptophyta; Magnoliopsida; Poales; Bromeliaceae.